AAUCUAUAUAUUAUAUAAAACACCAGUUUAACGGCAAAAUUUUAGCGCCAUAUUUUAUCUCUCACACGUUCUCUCUAAUUCUUAUUAAGCACGAUUGGAUUCUUUUCUCCCACAACUCAACAUCAGAAACUCUUUUCAUCAACUCUCUUCUAUUUCGGAUUCCAUAACCGCUUCUCGCCGAUCCAUUGCUCACCAAACUUAAUCGAAGAUUCGGCCGUCGUUUCUCGGUUCUUCAACUGUCGCCCUAGCGCCACCGCCUCAUACCAACAUUGCCCAAAAUGAUUCCGUAACCGCUCCUCGCUGUUCCAUCGCUCACCAAACUCAAUCGAAAACUCGGUCGCCAUUUCUCGGUCGUCAGUCGCCGCCCUAACGCCGCCGCCUCAGACCAACGUCGCCCAAAAUGACAUUGAGGGCCACUGCAUCAGAAAUUAGAGAAGUGUUUCUAAAAGUGCUGAUCAGAUUUUGGUUUGAAAACAACCAACAUCAAACAUGGUGGUUCAAUGUUUAUCAUCUUGAAAUACUGCAACGUAGAACUUCGGCUGAUGCAGCCCUCCAUGUGUGGCGGAUUCGCCGAUUGUAAGGGUGCCAUGUUCGUGUAUUUCUCUGGUGCAGUGGCAGCUAUGGUGCAAGGAUUAUAUUAUCUCUUUUAUUUUAGUGCUCUUUUUAGUGGUGUUUCACUCUUCACACAUAACUGUUGGACUAAUGUUUUAAUGAUUUUAGAACAUAAAGUUGAAAGAAUAGUGUUUUACAUAUGUAUUCUGCUCCUUGAAGUGUCCAUAUAUACCUCUAAUGAUUGAUUCUUAUGUGCUUAUAAUUUGUAAUUUUUGCUAUCAAGGAGAUGGAUUCUGGACACAUGAAUUUACUUAAUGGUUUAUUGUGACGUCUCUUUCUAUUGCCAAUUUUGCUUGAUUUCUUUGCCCAUAGUAAUGUUAUUAAGGAUAGUUACUUGCUGCUAUCAAUCUUAACAUAGUUGUGGCUUUCUUGAGACGUGGUUUAUGAAUUAAGGUCGUAUGCAUGGCUUUAUCUAUACACACUGCUUCAAAUAUCUGAAAUUGUGUCAUUUUAGGAUUAUGGAUGGAUUAAACCAAGAUGGAAACAAUGUGGAUUCUUUCUUACGGAACUACAAACUUGGGAAGACUCUUGGGAUUGGUUCAUUUGGCAAAGUUAAAAUUGCUGAACAUGCAUUGACAGGGCACAAAGUUGCUGUCAAGAUUCUAAAUCGUAAGAAGAUAAAGAAUAUGGAUAUGGAAGAAAAUGAUGGCGAUUUACAUAUCUUUACAAGAGUGGAGCAUAGGGGAUUGAAGUGGAAGACCAUUGAUAAAGAUAUCAAUUGUCACUAUAGCCCAAUUCAAACAUUGUUGGUGUUUGUAGGCGAUCGAACCGAGGGCGUUGCAUGCUUACUCCGCACCCCUCAAGGAAAAAAAGAUUGCCCAUAGCUACAGGAGCUAAUAGAAAGAGAGGGUUGAUUUAUUCAUAAUUACACAGAGAUAUAGCUAGCUAGAAUUUGCAACAAUGUUUGAAGUUAUGAUUGGUGGGUGAUCUCUAAUGGCUGCCGGCAAUGCCCCAUCUGCUCAUGAAAGAGAAUAGAUUAUUGAGAUGAUGGAGAAGGAGAUGGAAUACAGGGUGGAUAUGUUUAACAAGCUUACACACAAGUGUUUCGGCAAGUUCAUCGAGAACAAGUACACAAGGAAGCUUGAGUUAAAUAUGGGAAAAACAACUGCAUUGACCUGGUGCUUCAAAAUAUUGGCAGGUGACUAACUUUGUUGGCCAGCUGCUAGGCAACAGUCGAAUGUAGAGAAGAUAAUUUUUAUUUUGUAACUGUUUGAGAUUGAUUGAUAGUUUGCAUGGAGGAAGAUAUUAGGUAUGGUUUUUACUUCUUUUUCUCUCAUUUUCUUUUCCACUUUGGUUUCUACAAUAUUACAUUUGGUUUGUAUAUGUUAAAAUUGAAGGGCAGAGCUGCUUUGAUUGA
RNA transcript from Salvia miltiorrhiza (redroot sage), 1969 nucleotides. It is a transcript of the gene named SNF1-related protein kinase catalytic subunit alpha KIN10-like, with no coding region annotated. The record is from RefSeq and is a predicted model, not a curated record. Lineage: Eukaryota; Viridiplantae; Streptophyta; Magnoliopsida; Lamiales; Lamiaceae. The transcript has 8 exons.